RNAcentral lists this ribosomal RNA (396 nucleotides) under uncultured bacterium. RNAcentral's name for it is "bacterial SSU rRNA". It matches the Rfam family "Bacterial small subunit ribosomal RNA", at positions 28 to 405 of the family's 1533-position model. The record is from RNAcentral.
GAUGAACGCUGGCGGCGUGCUUAGCACAUGCAAGUCGAGCGAAGCACUUUACUUUGAUUUCUUCGGAAUGAAGAGUGAUUUGACUGAGCGGCGGACGGGUGAGUAACGCGUGGGUAACCUGCCUCAUACAGGGGGAUAACAGUUAGAAAUGGCUGCUAAUACCGCAUAAGACCACGGUACUGCAUGGUACAGUGGUAAAACUCCGGUGGUAUGAGAUGGACCCCGCGUCUGACUAGGUAGUUGGUGGGGUAACGCCCACCAAGCCGACGAUCAGUAGCCGACCUGAGAGGGUGACCGGCACAUUGGGACUGAGAUACGGGCCCAAACUCCUACGGGAGGCAGCAGUGGGGAAUAUUGCACAAUGGGGGAAACCCUGAUGCAGCGACGCCGCGUGAA